Dama dama (fallow deer) is the source of this 322-nucleotide long non-coding RNA. RefSeq lists it as uncharacterized. NCBI's taxonomy places the organism in Eukaryota, Metazoa, Chordata, Mammalia, Artiodactyla, Cervidae. The transcript is spliced from 3 exons. The record is from RefSeq and is a predicted model, not a curated record.
CUCCGCGGGAAGCCGUCUAGAAUGGUCGGGGCGACUCACCGUCGCCGCGGCACCGGCGGCGGCCUCAAUACCGAGAACGACCGCCUCCGCAGCUCGCAGUUGGGAGUCUGUCAGAAGGACGCCGGCGUGUGGGAUCUUAGUUCCCUGACCAGGGAUCCAACUGGUGCCCCUGCAUUGGAAGUGUGGAGUCCCAAUCACUGGACCGCCAGGGAAGUUCUAGAGGAAUUGCUUGCAGAAUCUUAGUUCCCUGACCAGGAAUUGAACUGGGACCCUGGCAGAGAAAGCACUGAUCCUAACCACUGAACCACCAAGGAAUUCCCAC